RNAcentral lists this ribosomal RNA (390 nucleotides) under uncultured soil bacterium. RNAcentral's name for it is "bacterial SSU rRNA". It matches the Rfam family "Bacterial small subunit ribosomal RNA", at positions 26 to 399 of the family's 1533-position model. The record is from RNAcentral.
AGAUUGAACGCUGGCGGAAUGCUUUACACAUGCAAGUCGAACGGCAGCACGGGGGCAACCCUGGUGGCGAGUGGCGAACGGGUGAGUAAUACAUCGGAACGUGCCCAGUCGUGGGGGAUAACUACGCGAAAGCGUAGCUAAUACCGCAUACGAACUCUGGUUGAAAGCGGGGGACUCGCAAGAGCCUCGCGCGAUUGGAGCGGACCGAUGGCAGGAUUAGGUAGUUGGUAGGGUAAAGGCUACGACCAAGCCUUCGAUCUGUAGCUGGUCUGAGAGGACGACCAGCCGACACGUGGGACUGGAGACACGGCCCAGUACUCCGUACGGAGGCAGCGAGGUGGGUAAUUUUGGAACUAGUGGGACGAAAGCCUAGACUCCAGCCAUCGACCG